Molecule: ribosomal RNA, 440 nt
Filed under: uncultured bacterium
Lineage: Bacteria
Description: partial 16S ribosomal RNA
Rfam family: Bacterial small subunit ribosomal RNA
Source: RNAcentral
CCUACGGGAGGCAGCAGUGGGGAAUAUUGCACAAUGGGGGGAACCCUGAUGCAGCGACGCCGCGUGAGUGAAGAAGUAUUUCGGUAUGUAAAGCUCUAUCAGCAGGGAAGAAAAUGACGGUACCUGACUAAGAAGCCCCGGCUAACUACGUGCCAGCAGCCGCGGUAAUACGUAGGGGGCAAGCGUUAUCCGGAUUUACUGGGUGUAAAGGGAGCGCAGACGGCUGUGCAAGGCUGGAGUGAAAGGCGGGGGCCCAAACCCCGGACUGCUCUGGAAACUGUAAAGCUGGAGUGCAGGAGAGGUAAGCGGAAUGCCUAGUGUAGCGGUGAAAGGCGUAGAUAUUAGGAGGAACACCGGUGGCGAAGGCGGCCUGCUGGACUGCAACUGACGUUGAGGCCCGAAAGCGUGGGGAGCAAACAGGAUUAGAUACCCCAGUAGUC